CAGUCGAACGAUGAAGCCUUUCGGGGUGGAUUAGUGGCGAACGGGUGAGUAACACGUGGGCAAUCUGCCCUUCACUCUGGGACAAGCCCUGGAAACGGGGUCUAAUACCGGAUAAUACUCCUGCCUGCAUGGGUGGGGGUUAAAAGCUCCGGCGGUGAAGGAUGAGCCCGCGGCCUAUCAGCUUGUUGGUGAGGUAGUGGCUCACCAAGGCGACGACGGGUAGCCGGCCUGAGAGGGCGACCGGCCACACUGGGACUGAGACACGGCCCAGACUCCUACGGGAGGCAGCAGUGGGGAAUAUUGCACAAUGGGCGAAAGCCUGAUGCAGCGACGCCGCGUGAGGGAUGACGGCCUUCGGGUUGUAAACCUCUUUCAGCAGGGAAGAAGCGAAAGUGACGGUACCUGCAGAAGAAGCGCCGGCUAACUACGUGCCAGCAGCCGCGGUAAUACGUAGGGCGCAAGCGUUGUCCGGAAUUAUUGGGCGUAAAGAGCUCGUAGGCGGUCUGUCGCGUCGGAUGUGAAAGCCCGGGGCUUAACCCCGGGUCUGCAUUCGAUACGGGCAGACUAGAGUGUGGUAGGGGAGAUCGGAAUUCCUGGUGUAGCGGUGAAAUGCGCAGAUAUCAGGAGGAACACCGGUGGCGAAGGCGGAUCUCUGGGCCAUUACUGACGCUGAGGAGCGAAAGCGUGGGGAGCGAACAGGAUUAGAUACCCUGGUAGUCCACGCCGUAAACGGUGGGAACUAGGUGUUGGCGACAUUCCACGUCGUCGGUGCCGCAGCUAACGCAUUAAGUUCCCCGCCUGGGGAGUACGGCCGCAAGGCUAAAACUCAAA
Molecule: ribosomal RNA, 831 nt
Filed under: Streptomyces sp.
Lineage: Bacteria; Bacillati; Actinomycetota; Actinomycetes; Kitasatosporales; Streptomycetaceae
Description: bacterial SSU rRNA
Rfam family: Bacterial small subunit ribosomal RNA
Source: RNAcentral